RNAcentral lists this unclassified non-coding RNA (315 nucleotides) under Pseudoxanthomonas indica. RNAcentral's name for it is "Long range pseudoknot". Lineage: Bacteria; Pseudomonadati; Pseudomonadota; Gammaproteobacteria; Lysobacterales; Lysobacteraceae. The record is from RNAcentral.
ACCGAUGAGGGCGACUAUCAGAUCAAGAUGCGCAACAUCCGCCGCUUCCUGGAAGAAGGCGACAAGGUCAAGGUCAACAUCCGUUUCCGUGGCCGCGAAAUGAGCCACCAGGAGCUGGGUCGCGAAAUGGCCGCGCGCAUCGAAGCCGAGCUGGGCGAUGAAAUCGUCAUCGAAUCCCGUCCGCGCCUGGAAGGGCGCCAGAUGGUCAUGAUGAUCGCGCCGAAGAAGAAGUAAGCCGCGGGCGCUGGCCCCUCAGGCUGACCAGAAGGACCGCCUUGAGCGGUCCUUCUGCGUUCCGGGCCAGGCAGGAGCCUC